RNAcentral lists this ribosomal RNA (1234 nucleotides) under metagenome. Its description in RNAcentral is "bacterial LSU rRNA". It matches the Rfam family "Bacterial large subunit ribosomal RNA", at positions 1564 to 2808 of the family's 2925-position model. The record is from RNAcentral.
UGAAUACGAGAUGCUACGGCGUCGAAGCAGUCUAUGUCAUACUUCCAAGAAAAGCUCGCACUGUCAUAAACAAAUAAUGCCUGUACCAUAACCGACACAGGUGGGUAGGUAGAGUAUACUAAGGGGCGCGAGAUAACUCUCUCUAAGGAACUCGGCAAAAUGACUCCGUAACUUCGGGAGAAGGAGUGCCUUAUUUAUAAGGUUGCAACAACAAGAUCCAAGCAACUGUUUAUCAAAAACACAGGUAUCCGCUAAGUCGUAAGACGAUGUAUGGGGGCUGACGCCCCCCAGUGCCAGAAGGUUAAAGAAGUUGGUUAGCAUUCGCGAAGCUGAUAACUGAAGCCCUGGUGAACGGCGGCCGUAACUAUAACGGUCCUAAGGUAGCGAAAUUCCUUGUCGGGUAAGUUCCGACCCGCACGAAAGGCGUAAUGAUUUGGAUACUGUCUCGGAGAGGGGCUCGGUGAAAUAGACUUGUCUGUGAAGACGCGGACUACCUGCACCAGGACAGAAAGACCCUAUGAAGCUUUACUGUAACUUGAGAUUGAAAUUGGACUUUACUUGCGCAGUAUAGGUGGGAGGCGUUGAUAAUAUUCUUGCGGGAUUAUUUGAGCCAUCAGUGAGAUACCACUCUUGUAAUGUUAGAUUUCUAACUUUGUAUCAUUAUCUGGUCAAAGGACAGUUUCAGGCGGGCAGUUUGACUGGGGCGGUCGCCUCCUAAACGGUAACGGAGGCGCACAAAGGUUUCCUCUGAACGGGUAGAAAUCGUAUCUAGAGUGUAAAGGCAUAAGGAAGCUUGACUGUGAGACCUACAAGUCGAGUAGGGACGAAAGUCGGUCUUAGUGAUCUGACGGUGCUGAGUGGAAAGGCCGUCACUCAACGGAUAAAAGUUACUCUAAGGAUAACAGGCUGAUCUCCCCCAAGAGUUCACAUCGACGGGGAGGUUUGGCACCUCGAUGUCGGCUCAUCGCAUCCUGGGGCGGUAGUACGUCCCAAGGGUUGGGCUGUUCGCCCAUGAAAGCGGUACGCGAGCUGGGUUCAGAACGUCGUGAGACAGUUCGGUCCAUAUCCGGUGUAGGCGUUAGAAUAUUGAGAGGAGCCUUCUUUAGUACGAGAGGACCGAGAAGGACAUACCUCUGGUGUACCAGUUAUCGUGCCAACGGUAAACGCUGGGUAGCUAUGUAUGGAGUGGAUAACCGCUGAAAGCAUCUAAGUGGGAAGCCCACCUCAAGAUAAG